Molecule: ribosomal RNA, 440 nt
Filed under: uncultured bacterium
Lineage: Bacteria
Description: partial 16S ribosomal RNA
Rfam family: Bacterial small subunit ribosomal RNA
Source: RNAcentral
CCUACGGGGGGCAGCAGUGGGGAAUAUUGCACAAUGGGGGAAACCCUGAUGCAGCGACGCCGCGUGAGUGAAGAAGUAAUUCGUUAUGUAAAGCUCUAUCAGCAGGGAAGAAAAUGACGGUACCUAAGUAAGAAGCCCCGGCUAACUCCGUGCCAGCAGCCGCGGUAAUACGUAGGGGGCAAGCGUUAGCCGGAUUUACUGGGUGUAAAGGGAGCGUAGACGGCAGUGCAAGUCUGGAGUGAAAGGCGGUGGCUCAACCGGCGGACUGCUCUUGAAACUGUACGGCUGGAGUGCAGGAGAGGGAAGUGGAAUUCCUAGUGUAGCGGUGAAAUGCGUAGAGAUUAGGAGGAACACCAGUGGCGAAGGCGGCUCACUGGACUGUAACUGACGUUGAGGCUCGAAAGCGUGGGGAGCAAACAGGAUUAGAUACCCCAGUAGUC